Mauremys mutica (yellowpond turtle) is the source of this 1409-nucleotide long non-coding RNA. RefSeq lists it as uncharacterized. Lineage: Eukaryota; Metazoa; Chordata; Testudines; Geoemydidae. The transcript is spliced from 3 exons. The record is from RefSeq and is a predicted model, not a curated record.
AUAAAGAUUACUCUCCCUAUAGGAAACUAUGGUUCUUUGAGAUAUGUUGUCCACACAGAUUCCACACUUGAUGCUCAUGCACACCAUCUGCACGAGAUCAGAUUCUUUUGAAAAGCAGUGUCUGGUGGGACUGCACCUACAUCUUGCACACCCUUUCACUUCCUGUGGCCAAGUAAGGCCACAACCCCCACUCAGUUUCUUCACUAACAAGAAUGCCUGGAGUAGGACACUGGUCAGCAGGAAUGAAGGGCAGGACAUGGAAUCUGUGUGGACAACAGACAGCUUGAAGAAGUAUAUUUACAGGAAGGAGGCAAGAAGGAAUUGAGCAUGAGCUGCAGCUGCCCCAUCUUUUUUACCCUUGCUUUAGGAAAGGAGAGGGCAAGAACAGUGAAGGAGUGGCUACAACUGGCACUACUAUUCAAAAUAAUCUGAUCUUGUAUGCAUGGGGCGCUUGCACCCCAAGAGUAGAAUGUGUGGACAAUCACUCGAAGAUGAAGUGAAGGCGGCCCAGUUCUCAAGCCUUUGCCCUCAGAAAAUAUAACUAGUCCUCACCUUACUAGUGGGGAGGGAAUUAAACAGAGGCAUUCUUUCGAUGUCCUGAAUGUCAGGGCCACAGGGAAGAAGAGAGAAAUCUCUGUUUCUUCAGUCCAAUGAGCCCUAUGUGAGGUCCUGGAUGACAGCUCCACUUUUGAAAAGCCAUGUUGGAACUCCGCCUGGCCCAUUCAGACAGACAGCCAGGAAGAUACUGGGGAGGCAGCACACCUGCUCAUUCUGUUUAUCAAUCACCUCCAAUGACUUAACUGUCAUAUUUACUACGGUGGCAUGUGGAGUCUGUGACAUUACUCCUGGAGAUGAGGUGGCUAUGAGUGUCAGCAGACACACUCCAUGGCUACCUCAAAGUGAGGUGUUACCCCUCAGGAUCCGCAGAAGCAUCAACUACAGAGCCUGGACACAAUACAAAGCUGCUGAAGGCUCUGUGCAGCAGACAUUGCCAGGAACCAGGAUUUGAUUCAUUGAUCUGAAACUGUAUCAUAAUAGUCACCAACAAACGUUAUCUUUUCUCAGGUGCUAGCUUUUUCAUUUUAAAAAAAACCUUCUUUGGGCCUCUCCCUGCAGCCUUUUCUUGAGAAAGACUCCCACUGGCUCCCAGGAGAGUAUUGCCAGACUGAAGAUAGCAGUCAGGCCUUCUAUUCCCUUCCACCCUAUAAUGCAUUGCUUGUCCACCCUAAAACUCCCACUGAUUUUAUUGGGUAUUGCAGGUUUGCAAGGAAUGCAGGAUCUUGCCCUUGGUGUAUAAUGUAUACAGGCAUAAAUUGUAGAGCCUGACAUUGAAUAAAAGCCUCUACUCAGCAAUUUAAAAAAAAUGGAGCCAAGAUGGCUAUAAACAUUAACAAAACAUACUAUUUCUA